RNAcentral lists this ribosomal RNA (496 nucleotides) under uncultured bacterium. RNAcentral's name for it is "partial 16S ribosomal RNA". It matches the Rfam family "Bacterial small subunit ribosomal RNA", at positions 29 to 507 of the family's 1533-position model. The record is from RNAcentral.
AUGAACGCUGGCGGCGUGCCUAAUCCCUGCAAGUCGAGCGCACGGACGAGAAGCUUGCUUUUCUGAUGUUAGCGGCGGACGGGUGAGUAACACGUGGAUAACCUACCUAUAAGACUGGGAUAACUUCGGGAAACCGGAGCUAAUACCGGAUAAUAUUUUGAACCGCAUGGUUCAAAAGUGAAAGACGGUCUUGCUGUCACUUAUAGAUGGAUCCGCGCUGCAUUAGCUAGUUGGUAAGGUAACGGCUUACCAAGGCAACGAUGCAUAGCCGACCUGAGAGGGUGAUCGGCCACACUGGAACUGAGACACGGUCCAGACUCCUACGGGAGGCAGCAGUAGGGAAUCUUCCGCAAUGGGCGAAAGCCUGACGGAGCAACGCCGCGUGAGUGAUGAAGGUCUUCGGAUCGUAAAACUCUGUUAUUAGGGAAGAACAUAUGUGUAAGUAACUGUGCACAUCUUGACGGUACCUAAUCAGAGAGCCACGGCUAACUACGUG